This 2371-nucleotide ribosomal RNA is filed under the name Escherichia coli. RNAcentral's name for it is "bacterial LSU rRNA". The record is from RNAcentral. Lineage: Bacteria; Pseudomonadati; Pseudomonadota; Gammaproteobacteria; Enterobacterales; Enterobacteriaceae.
GUGGGAGCACGCUUCGGCGUGUGACUGCGUACCUUUUGUAUAAUGGGUCAGCGACUUAUAUUCUGUAGCAAGGUUAACCGAAUAGGGGAGCCGAAGGGAAACCGAGUCUUAACUGGGCGUUAAGUUGCAGGGUAUAGACCCGAAACCCGGUGAUCUAGCCAUGGGCAGGUUGAAGGUUGGGUAACACUAACUGGAGGACCGAACCGACUAAUGUUGAAAAAUUAGCGGAUGACUUGUGGCUGGGGGUGAAAGGCCAAUCAAACCGGGAGAUAGCUGGUUCUCCCCGAAAGCUAUUUAGGUAGCGCCUCGUGAAUUCAUCUCCGGGGGUAGAGCACUGUUUCGGCAAGGGGGUCAUCCCGACUUACCAACCCGAUGCAAACUGCGAAUACCGGAGAAUGUUAUCACGGGAGACACACGGCGGGUGCUAACGUCCGUCGUGAAGAGGGAAACAACCCAGACCGCCAGCUAAGGUCCCAAAGUCAUGGUUAAGUGGGAAACGAUGUGGGAAGGCCCAGACAGCCAGGAUGUUGGCUUAGAAGCAGCCAUCAUUUAAAGAAAGCGUAAUAGCUCACUGGUCGAGUCGGCCUGCGCGGAAGAUGUAACGGGGCUAAACCAUGCACCGAAGCUGCGGCAGCGACACUAUGUGUUGUUGGGUAGGGGAGCGUUCUGUAAGCCUGYGAAGGUGUGCUGUGAGGCAUGCUGGAGGUAUCAGAAGUGCGAAUGCUGACAUAAGUAACGAUAAAGCGGGUGAAAAGCCCGCUCGCCGGAAGACCAAGGGUUCCUGUCCAACGUUAAUCGGGGCAGGGUGAGUCGACCCCUAAGGCGAGGCCGAAAGGCGUAGUCGAUGGGAAACAGGUUAAUAUUCCUGUACUUGGUGUUACUGCGAAGGGGGGACGGAGAAGGCUAUGUUGGCCGGGCGACGGUUGUCCCGGUUUAAGCGUGUAGGCUGGUUUUCCAGGCAAAUCCGGAAAAUCAAGGCUGAGGCGUGAUGACGAGGCACUACGGUGCUGAAGCAACAAAUGCCCUGCUUCCAGGAAAAGCCUCUAAGCAUCAGGUAACAUYAAAUCGUACCCCAAACCGACACAGGUGGUCAGGUAGAGAAUACCAAGGCGCUUGAGAGAACUCGGGUGAAGGAACUAGGCAAAAUGGUGCCGUAACUUCGGGAGAAGGCACGCUGAUAUGUAGGUGAAGUCCCUCGCGGAUGGAGCUGAAAUCAGUCGAAGAUACCAGCUGGCUGCAACUGUUUAUUAAAAACACAGCACUGUGCAAACACGAAAGUGGACGUAUACGGUGUGACGCCUGCCCGGUGCCGGAAGGUUAAUUGAUGGGGUCAGCGCAAGCGAAGCUCUUGAUCGAAGCCCCGGUAAACGGCGGCCGUAACUAUAACGGUCCUAAGGUAGCGAAAUUCCUUGUCGGGUAAGUUCCGACCUGCACGAAUGGCGUAAUGAUGGCCAGGCUGUCUCCACCCGAGACUCAGUGAAAUUGAACUCGCUGUGAAGAUGCAGUGUACCCGCGGCAAGACGGAAAGACCCCGUGAACCUUUACUAUAGCUUGACACUGAACAUUGAGCCUUGAUGUGUAGGAUAGGUGGGAGGCUUWGAAGUGUGGACGCCAGUCUGCAUGGAGCCGACCUUGAAAUACCACCCUUUAAUGUUUGAUGUUCUAACGUGGACCCGURAUCCGGGUUGCGGACAGUGUCUGGUGGGUAGUUUGACUGGGGCGGUCUCCUCCUAAAGAGUAACGGAGGAGCACGAAGGUUGGCUAAUCCUGGUCGGACAUCAGGAGGUUAGUGCAAUGGCAUAAGCCAGCUUGACUGCGAGCGUGACGGCGCGAGCAGGUGCGAAAGCAGGUCAUAGUGAUCCGGUGGUUCUGAAUGGAAGGGCCAUCGCUCAACGGAUAAAAGGUACUCCGGGGAUAACAGGCUGAUACCGCCCAAGAGUUCAUAUCGACGGCGGUGUUUGGCACCUCGAUGUCGGCUCAUCACAUCCUGGGGCUGAAGUAGGUCCCAAGGGUAUGGCUGUUCGCCAUUUAAAGUGGUACGCGAGCUGGGUUUAGAACGUCGUGAGACAGUUCGGUCCCUAUCUGCCGUGGGCGCUGGAGAACUGAGGGGGGCUGCUCCUAGUACGAGAGGACCGGAGUGGACGCAUCACUGGUGUUCGGGUUGUCAUGCCAAUGGCACUGCCCGGUAGCUAAAUGCGGAAGAGAUAAGUGCUGAAAGCAUCUAAGCACGAAACUUGCCCCGAGAUGAGUUCUCCCUGACCCUUUAAGGGUCCUGAAGGAACGUUGAAGACGACGACGUUGAUAGGCCGGGUGUGUAAGCGCAGCGAUGCGUUGAGCUAACCGGUACUAAUGAACCGUGAGGCUUAACCUU